AAUCAACGCUGGCGGCGUGCCUAACACAUGCAAGUCGAACGAGAAAGUGGAGCAAUCCAUGAGUAAAGUGGCGAACGGGUGAGUAACACGUGGGUGACCUGCCCUCAGCUCUGGGAUAAGCCUGGGAAACCGGGUCUAAUACCGGAUAUGACUCCAUGACGCAUGUUGUGGGGUGGAAAGCCUUGUGCGGCUGAGGAUGGGCCCGCGGCCUAUCAGCUUGUUGGUGGGGUGAUGGCCUACCAAGGCGACGACGGGUAGCCGGCCUGAGAGGGCGACCGGCCACACUGGGACUGAGACACGGCCCAGACUCCUACGGGAGGCAGCAGUGGGGAAUCUUGCGCAAUGGGCGAAAGCCUGACGCAGCGACGCCGCGUGAGGGAUGACGGCCU
RNAcentral lists this ribosomal RNA (389 nucleotides) under uncultured bacterium. RNAcentral's name for it is "partial 16S ribosomal RNA". It matches the Rfam family "Bacterial small subunit ribosomal RNA", at positions 28 to 417 of the family's 1533-position model. The record is from RNAcentral.